CAUUCAGUAGCCCAGCUACUUGUUUACACCCUUGUUUUUUUUUUUGCGUACUUAUCGUUUCCUCGGCGGGCUUGCCUGCCGGUUGGACAACUUUAUAACCUUUUUAAAUCUUCAAUCAGCGUCUGAAUAAUAUACAAUAAUUA
Molecule: unclassified non-coding RNA, 143 nt
Filed under: soil metagenome
Description: partial internal transcribed spacer 1
Source: RNAcentral